UGUGAAAUCCCGAGGCUCAACCUCGGGCUUGCAGUGGGUACGGGCAGACUAGAGUGCGGUAGGGGAGAUUGGAAUUCCUGGUGUAGCGGUGGAAUGCGCAGAUAUCAGGAGGAACACCGAUGGCGAAGGCAGAUCUCUGGGCCGUAACUGACGCUGAGGAGCGAAAGCGUGGGGAGCGAACAGGAUUAGAUACCCUGGUAGUCCACGCCGUAAACGUUGGGCGCUAGAUGUAGGGACCUUUCCACGGUUUCUGUGUCGUAGCUAACGCAUUAAGCGCCCCGCCUGGGGAGUACGGCCGCAAGGCUAAAACUCAAAGGAAUUGACGGGGGCCCGCACAAGCGGCGGAGCAUGCGGAUUAAUUCGAUGCAACGCGAAGAACCUUACCAAGGCUUGACAUACACCGGAAACGGCCAGAGAUGGUCGCCCCCUUGUGGUCGGUGUACAGGUGGCGCAUGGUUGUCGUCAGCUCGUGUCGUGAGAUGUUGGGUUAAGUCCCGCAACGAGCGCAACCCUCGUUCUAUGUUGCCAGCGCGUUAUGGCGGGGACUCAUAGGAGACUGCCGGGGUCAACUCGGAGGAAGGUGGGGAUGACGUCAAAUCAUCAUGCCCCUUAUGUCUUGGGCUUCACGCAUGCUACAAUGGCCGGUACAAAGGGCUGCGAUACCGUAAGGUGGAGCGAAUCCCAAAAAGCCGGUCUCAGUUCGGAUUGAGGUCUGCAACUCGACCUCAUGAAGUCGGAGUCGCUAGUAAUCGCAGAUCAGCAA
This 763-nucleotide ribosomal RNA is filed under the name Curtobacterium luteum. RNAcentral describes it as "bacterial SSU rRNA". It matches the Rfam family "Bacterial small subunit ribosomal RNA", at positions 593 to 1355 of the family's 1533-position model. Lineage: Bacteria; Bacillati; Actinomycetota; Actinomycetes; Micrococcales; Microbacteriaceae. The record is from RNAcentral.